CGUGUCACGCCAUUUGUUCAGACCGCUAUUUAGAAAUUCAUUAUUAGUAUUAUUCGAGGUCGGGUGCAGAAGGCUAAUAACCUACUCACCCUAAAUCAAACCUAUUACUGAAACUUCAACUAAGCAAACCCGGACGGAUAAUACGAGGACGACCCUGGCUAAUACUAAACACAAGAUACGUUUCGGCUGCUGGAACGUGCAAACGUUAUACGAGAGCUCCAAAUUGCAGCAGGUAACUAAGGAAUUUCUCAAAUAUAAUCUACAUAUUUUAGGUAUAUCAGAAGUACGUUGGUUGGGGAAAGGAGAACAUCCCACACAAGGUGGAGAACGACUACUUUUUUAGUGGUAAUGAAUCUGGAAAACACGAAAGCGGUGUAGGAUUUCUACUCAGUAAACAUGCUAAAAAGAGUCUAAUCUCAUGGACACCAAUAAACGAAAGAGUAAUAACAGCAAGAUUCUACACCAGGUUCAGAAAAGUAACUUUUAUCCAAUGUUACGCCCCAACCAAUAACGCUUCUAAAGAGGAUAAAGAUGAAUUCUAUGACAUCCUCGAGAAAACUAUAAAAGACGUAAACAGCGGUGACAUAAAAAUUCUCAUGGGCGACCUUAAUGCGAAAGUAGGCGCUCAAAACGAGAAUUUGGAAGAAAUUAUGGGAAAAAACGGCGUUGGGCAGAUUAACGAAAACGGCACAUACUUCACACAGUUCUGCUCCAACGCGAACCUGGUAAUAGGGGGUACGCUGUUCCCCCACAAACAGAUUCACAAGACAACGUGGGUCUCGCCAGACAAAAAAAACCCACAACCAAAUCGAUCAUAUCACAAUCUCUAGGAAAUGGAGAUCGUCAUUACUCGAUGUGAGGAACAAGAGAGGUGCUGAUGUAGCCAGUGACCACCACCUAAUAGUUGGCACAUUGAGAAUAAAACUAGCAGUACCCAAGCAACCAGCCGAUAUGAAACGAAUAAAACUAAAUAUAGAGAAGCUACGCAUUCCACAAAUAGCAAAAUCCUUCAAGGAAAAAAUGCAAGAGACAAUAAACCAAAAAUCAGCACAAAAAUGGGAAAAUAUGGCCGACAACAUCAUUGAAGUCGCCAAAACAACAAUUGGAGUGAAAAGCAGGCAAAGGAAAGAAUGGAUCAGCGAAAACACGUGGUUGCUGAUAGAAGACCGAAA
Molecule: long non-coding RNA, 1172 nt
Organism: Dalotia coriaria
Lineage: Eukaryota; Metazoa; Arthropoda; Insecta; Coleoptera; Staphylinidae
Exons: 2
Source: RefSeq, a predicted model, not a curated record